This 451-nucleotide ribosomal RNA is filed under the name uncultured bacterium. RNAcentral describes it as "partial 16S ribosomal RNA". It matches the Rfam family "Bacterial small subunit ribosomal RNA", at positions 354 to 796 of the family's 1533-position model. The record is from RNAcentral.
GUGGGGAAUAUUGGACAAUGGGGGGAACCCUGAUCCAGCCAUGCCGCGUGUGUGAAGAAGGCCUUUUGGUUGUAAAGCACUUUAAGCGAGGAGGAGGCUACCGAGAUUAAUACUCUUGGAUAGUGGACGUUACUCGCAGAAUAAGCACCGGCUAACUCUGUGCCAGCAGCCGCGGUAAUACAGAGGGUGCAAGCGUUAAUCGGAUUUACUGGGCGUAAAUCGCGCGUAGGUGGCCAAUUAAGUCAAAUGUGAAAUCCCCGAGCUUAACUUGGGAAUUGCAUUCGAUACUGGUUGGCUAGAGUAUGGGAGAGGAUGGUAGAAUUCCAGGUGUAGCGGUGAAAUGCGUAGAGAUCUGGAGGAAUACCGAUGGCGAAGGCAGCCAUCUGGCCUAAUACUGACACUGAGGUGCGAAAGCAUGGGGAGCAAACAGGAUUAGAUACCCGAGUAGUCC